Non-coding RNA from Ostertagia ostertagi, 75 nucleotides. The record is from the annotation of a GenBank genome assembly. Lineage: Eukaryota; Metazoa; Nematoda; Chromadorea; Rhabditida; Trichostrongylidae.
GCCGCAGUAGCUCAGCCUGGAUAGAGCAUCCAACUCCUACUUGGAUUGCCGGCCGUUCAAAUCGGCCCUGUGGCU